Molecule: long non-coding RNA, 1057 nt
Organism: Lemur catta (Ring-tailed lemur)
Lineage: Eukaryota; Metazoa; Chordata; Mammalia; Primates; Lemuridae
Exons: 3
Source: RefSeq, a predicted model, not a curated record
AAUGCCCCAUCCCUGCUGCCCACGGCCUGGGGGAGGCCGACGGGAGCCACGGGCCGGGCAGUAGGAGCCCGGGCACCUCAGAGACCGGGCCCGAGGAGAGGGAAGACAGAGGAGUUACCCGAUUAUCUGGUUCUACUCUCAUAAAGACACACCGAGGGUGUGGAAGACCAGGCAACAGACCCUUGAGAGAGGAUGUUGGAGGGAUGAGGGCGAGUGGCUCUUACCCCAUGAAGUAGAAGGGACUGCACUGUGUCCUGACCCCACAGCUUUGGGUCAGUCUGAGGGUGUUUGGCUGCUGCUCAGAGCCAGAAGAGACUCCUCUCUGUUUACUCUGUCACCAGGAGAGCUACCUGCGCUCUGAGAUCCACAACUGCCUGGGCUAGCAAAGAAACCAAACUGCUGGCACAGGGCCAACAGCAGUACAGUUAAUAGCUUGGCACAAUGAGAGGAAAUAACGGGUGCAUUAAGCUUGUGACUGAACUCUGAUUAGUUGAGUCCUGACACUUUCAUCUCAUUGCUUUGAAAGAAUGACAUUAUUGUCCAGCCCAGAGAGAACAGUCAUGCCUAAUUUGGGCAGAUUUUGUAAUUGAAGGAGAGACAGGAUAGGAAAAGGGAAAAUUUAAAACAAAGCCCUAAACACAAUGUCCCAAAACUCAAAGGGGGAAAGGUAUACUGGGCAUUUGGGGUUCUUUUUUCUAAACAGUUUUGAGGCAUAAUUGACAAACAAUAAACUUUAUAUUUAAUGUGUACAAUUUGAUAAGUUUUGACAUAUGUAUAUACCUGUGAUAUCAUCACCGCUAUGAAGAUAAAGAACGUAUCCAUCUCCCCAAAAGUGUCCUGUGCCCCUUGGCAACCCCUCCCUCGCCGGAGCUGCUUCUGUCACUAUAGAGAAGCUUAUAUUUUCUGAAAUUUUAUAUAAAUAAAAUCACACAGUAGAUACUCUUUUUCUAUCUCACUCAUUUCACUCAACGUUAUUAUUUUGAGACUCACCUACACUGUUUUAUGUAUCAAUAGUUCAUUCCUUUUCAUUGCAUAAGAGUAUUCCAUUGCAAGCAUA